Molecule: long non-coding RNA, 1431 nt
Filed under: Dasypus novemcinctus (nine-banded armadillo)
Lineage: Eukaryota; Metazoa; Chordata; Mammalia; Cingulata; Dasypodidae
Description: lncRNA (ENSDNOG00000052857.1)
Source: RNAcentral
UAUGGGUGAAGAGUCUGCCGGGAAAGGGAGUUCCGGGUGCCCAACUUCGUGCCUUGUGAGAGUGGGGCAGGACUACAUUUCCCAGUGUGCUCGUCAGGGUUAGGACCUGGAAGGAAGGGUGUGUGGGCCUCCCUGGAAGUUGUCCCGGGUGUGCGCCGCUGGAGCUCCGGGUCGAGAGGACGAGGCGCCGUCGCCGCUGCCGCCGGCUCCCGGAGCCCAGCCCUCUCCCAGCCCACCCCAGUCCAGCCCGGCCCCAGCUGCCAACGCCUGUCCCUGCCGCGGACCCCAGCGUUACCAUGAAUCCUGCCGUCUUCCUAUCCUUACCGGACCUUAGAUGCUCCCUGCUGCUCCUGGUGUCGUUUCAGCCAAAUGUUGCAUCCAAUUUUUGAGGAAGCUUCCAAUGUCAUUAAGGAAGAAUAUCCAAAAGAGAAUCAAGUAGUGUUUGCCAGAGUUGAUUGUGAUCAGCACUGUAAGUACCUCAGUAGGAAGUCUGGAAGACACUGUCCUGUCCCACCUCUCUAACACACAUACCUUUUUUUCCCCCUUUCCUCUUUUUAAAUGUCUGCAGUUAAUUAGAGAAUAAACCAAAAUGGUUUUAGUGUCCCUGGCUAAAUUGUUAAUAUUUAAUCUUGAUAUACUUAUAACACUGCUUUCCAUUUUGCCUGUGUAAAGUUUUUUAAUGGUAUUUCUUUCAUUAAAAUAUAGUAAGGCUAGCAUAUGGGUUGUAAAUUAUAAUUAGCAAUAUUUUCAACCAAUGCAUAUAUAAAAACCAAUAAAUAAAAUUGAAAUAUAACUUUAGAAGAAAAAAUUGAUUUGUUUUUAGAAUCAUGCAAAAAAUAGCGUUUAUAGUCCUUUCAUGUAAGAUAAUCUCAGAUUUUUUUGUUUAAAAGAUUCUCCUAACAUCAGCUUAGGAGAGAAGACAAUUAGCUGUGGUUACAGAUUAUAAUUUUUGAGAGUAUUAAGAAACUUAUAAUAGAUUCACUUAAAAUUAAACUUCUUGUAUUUCACUUGUCCCAAUAGAGCAUUUCCUAGAAAAUUUUCAUGGUUUUCCAUAUACAUGUCCAAUUUCUCCACCUUGAGCUAGUGAGCUAGCAGUGGUGUUUCUUCUUGAGUUCUUCUUUUACACUUGAACUUGUGUCUCUCAUAGUACCAUACUCAGUGUUUUUGGUAUUUCUGGUUCAUGAGAUAUCUUGUUGGUCUUACCAGCUGCAUUGCCAUUGUUUCAAGGGCAGGAACUUUUAGUUUUUAAAUGCGCUCUUGUAGGUGGAGAACAAACCAUUCCUUAAUCUAUGAUCUCCAGCAUCUGACAGUUUCUGGGAGACAUAGAGUGCCCAUUAAAACUUGUUGCCUUGAGUUAUUAUAAGUUGGCCUAAUACAGAAAUUCUCCUCCAUUCUGCAAGUUUCCUACCCUCUAUACUUAAACCUACCAGU